CUGAUCUAUAGGGAUCUCUGAGGAUCUAUAAUGAUCUCUGAGGAUCUAUAAGGAUCUCUGAAGAUCUAUACGGAUCUCUAAGGAUCCAUGGGGAUCUCUGAGGAUUGAUGAGGAUUCAUGAGGAUCCCUGAAGAUUCACGAGGAUAUUGAAGGAUCUCUGAGGAUCUAUAAGGAUCUCUGAGGACAUACAAGGAUCUAUGUGGAUCUCUAAGGAUCUCUGAGGAUCCAUGAGGAUUCAUGAGGAUCCAUGAGGAUCUGUGAGGAUCUGUUAACGGUGAAACGGUCUCUGACCAAAGUUCUGAAUCUGCUGACACGUGUUUACCUUUUGACGAUGAAGACGAGGGCUGAUGAAGAGGAGCAGAACCAGACUGGAUGACUUCAGAAGUUCUGCUGAAGUAUCGUCAGAAAAUGCCCUCAGAGGUCCCUGACUCACCUUCAGAUGAACUUUGACCCUCAGAAUGGUUUGAUCUGCAGGUGAGGAUCAGUUUUCUGGAACGUGGAGAUUUUUCUUCUCCAAACUGAACUGAUUCUGUUCAGAUUUGAGCAAAACUCCAGAGUUCCUCCAUCCUGAUGUUGCAAUGGGUGGGGGGGUUGGAUCCUCUCCGAACCUCAAAGUCUUCCCAACAUGACCUCAUCCCCUCCUGCUCCUCUCUGAUGAAGUCCUGCCCCCCCAAACCGGACCAAACCUGUUCUGUUCCAGCUCGAUCCGCUCGCUCAGCCCGUUUUCAAAGCAAACUUUGAUCUGUUUGCUCUCCUGACUCCACCACCUUCAUAAAAAACUGUUUUCAGUUUGUCCUGAAAAGGAAACAGAGUUCUGGUUCCUCUGAACCCUGAGGGGGGGAUUUGCCUCGGUUUGAUUUCAUCUGGAAAAUGUUUCUUCUCUCUGUAACUUUAGACUUUCUCCAAACACUCUGACCAUAAAAGGAUUCAGUGAAUCUCAUGAAACCCUCACAGUUCCUCUCAGGAACGUUUUCAUCGUCCGGUCGGUUCAGGAGCUCCAAUGUGACCUCCUGCAGGAGCAGCUUCACGAUGACCAGCAGUCAGAAGGACCAUCCUGACAUCUGAUCCAGUUCUCCUUCAGAGAGUCAGUCUCCCUCACAUCUGAUCUGCUGCAACAGGAGACAAGAAAACGUCCCUGCAGGUCAUGAAGGGUUAACAGCUGCAGCCUGAACCGCCACGGACAAACUCUGAACAUCCUCAGGCAGCGACUUUGGGCGGAGCCGUUGAAGAUCAGAUCCUCUCCGGAGACGGUCGGAGGCGGGAGCGUCAUCAUCCAGGAUGAAACCAAAACCUCAGACAAACUUUUGAGGUUUCUCUAAACUGUAAAUGUGGGAUCUGAGGUCAUGAAAGAAAACAGGAAACAGGUUUCUUGCUCCACUGAAGAUCCCGAGAAGAACGGAUUCUGGAUUCAGAUUCUGUUCACUCCAUCCGUGUUCCAUAGAUAAAACACAGACGGUGGAUGUGAAUCCGUCAGAAUCUUCAGGAAACUUCUGGGCCUUCGAUGACCUGAUGGUCCAUUUCCCGUCCAGACUCGUCUGAAUCUUCACAUGCAGACAGAAGCUCCGCCCCCUGCAGGUCCUGAAUGACGUCUGGAAGGCCGCCGACUCUUCAUGUUUUUGUCUCUUUAAAUAGAGACACCUUCUGAGGCUCCGUUUGACCUUGCAGAGCCCCGCCCCCCUCUGUGGCGAGCUGAGAGGUUGUUGGCGUGAGCGCGAGAUCAGCAGAUCUUCUGAAGGCCUCGCCGCCCGCAGAGGAGGAAGAUGCAGUCAGUGUUUGCAGCAGCACCACUGAUGGCGGCGGCCCUUUUUCCCACGGCGCCUGAACGUGUCUGGGCUCCUUCUGCCCAUGGGGGGCGUGGCCUUUCCCAAAGAUAUGUGUGACAGCAGAGCCAUCCGACCUUCAUCCUCCAGCGCUGAGCCACAUGUGACCCCUGUGACCCCUCCUCUGAUUGGCUGACGGCCCUCCAACCUGACGCCGUCCAAUCGGAGCAUCAGGAGUUUCCCCUCACUUCCUGUUGGAAUCCGGCGAUGAAAUAAACACGGAGAACUGUCAAUCACCUCCUGAGGAGAUGGAACUCCGAGGAUUAUGGGAUCUCCGACGGAAACACAAACUAGAGAGUUUCCCGAGUCUUCCAGGAUCGCCGAUCGGCUUCAUGUUUGACGACAUCAGACGAUCGUUUUUAUCCUUUUUCCAGAUCAAACAAACUGAAAACUGAUCAAUAUUUUGCUGUGAAUAAUCCCAACAGAUUAUCGGAGGUCAUGGUGUUGCUGGAGCCUAUCCUGGACAGUUCGUCAGUUUAUCCCAGAACGGUUCAAAAUUCAGAACCAGUGAAGCUGUUCCAGUGAAACCGAAGUUUUACCAGAAACCAGAAACUUUAAUGGAUCUGAAAAGUUUAUGGGUUUAAAAUAUAUUUGAGUUAUAAGUUGCUAAAUUAAAGUUUGUUUUUAUGA
Long non-coding RNA from Oryzias melastigma (Indian medaka), 2450 nucleotides. RefSeq lists it as uncharacterized. The record is from RefSeq and is a predicted model, not a curated record. The transcript has 2 exons. NCBI's taxonomy places the organism in Eukaryota, Metazoa, Chordata, Actinopteri, Beloniformes, Adrianichthyidae.